Long non-coding RNA from Vidua macroura (Pin-tailed whydah), 1849 nucleotides. RefSeq lists it as uncharacterized. The record is from RefSeq and is a predicted model, not a curated record. The transcript is spliced from 3 exons. Lineage: Eukaryota; Metazoa; Chordata; Aves; Passeriformes; Viduidae.
GAGCUGAGUGACUGGACAUUGCAUGAGCUUCUCCCCCGUGAACUUGAUUGCAGCAUGAGGCCAUUUAUAGCGGGCUCCUGCUGUACUGCUGGGCUGCCUGCAGUCCCUAGGGGAUGUACACCACUUCUUGACUGGUUUCCAGGAGGCUUGUGAGUGGUAGGCACUGGAAUCACUGCUGUUAGACAGGAGUAUAUCAAGGGGAUGUCAUCUCUGCAAGGUGCCUGAUUCUCUUCUAACCAUCACUGCCAAGAGUCACUACUGGGACAGUCAGACCAGCUCCUGCUGCAGAGAAGGCAGAAACAGGUGUGAUCCCUGCCUGGCUGCCACCAUUUAAGCUGGCUACAAAAAUUCUAGGAACUGUAGGUGAGGAGCUACAUCCUUUCCUCUAUUUGAACAACAUCUGAUAUUUUGGGAUACUGACUGUACAACAUCAUCAGCACAAGUUUUGACAGCUUAAUGCAUUUCCUCCUCCUCUCCCAGUCAAUCAAUUUUCACUUGUUCAGUAUCAUUUCUCUGUUGUUUCAUUCAAUCUCAAGUCAAACAAGAAGGCAAACUUUCAUAAACCUGCAAAGGACCAUUAAAAAAAAGCCACACUGGCAACAUUGGCAACAAGAACUCCACAGCUUACGGCAACAGUUCUUUUCCAAAAAGAACAUUGGUGAAAAAAGAGUAUUCCAAGAGUAGGUAAUUCUUCAUUACUGACCUACUACUGUAACAGGUCAGAGUGAUUUAAACCAGAAAAGCACUAGUGUGGAAUGUGGAAUAUUAAAAUCAUUCAGUAGUUACAAAGACAGGAGCUGUUGCCCUGUACUGCUUUCUCACUGUGUGUACUGGCACAUCUGAGUUGGGUUGCUUUUUUUUUCCGUUGUCUUUACAAUAGGCAUUUCAGUUUGAAGGGUGUGUAGGAAAGUGAACUUUCAAAAUGUUAGUCAUCUGAAAAGUUACAGUAUUUUACUUUCAACAGGAUGUGAAGAAAAGUUUUCCAGAAUGUAGAUUCAGUUACACAGGGACCAAAAGGGACUCAUCUGUAAGAGAAUGAUGUGGGCAUUCCAGUUAGCCAGAAAUCCCAUUAAGGACCCCUGUAAAAGAUACUACUUUUGAUAUGAUUAAUGAAAUAAUCAUUGGAAAUCCUGUGAAUUAUGUGCAGUGUUUCUUAUUCAAAGCAGAGUAUGAUUCCCAGUGUUGACUUUAAGGUACACAACACUAAAACCUCAAGGAGAAAUGUGGUCUUUUCCCACAUUUGCCCACCAACUAUUAGUUUUGUCUCUGUUAUAAUUAAAAUGAUGCAUGUGAAGACCUUUAUCAUCAACACAAUUUUUGUUCUUUCCACUCCUAAAAUUUCAAGUGGAAAAGGAAAGCUUAUAUUUACUUUUUCAAUUUAAUUCUUAAUAUAGAGAUUUCUUUAUUUGAAGCAUUCCCAUUUUCUGAGCUUUAUAGAUCUAUUAAUCAAUAUUUAUAGAAUUCAACCCACUAAAAAUAGAGAGAAAAAAAAAGGGGAUGUAUGGGAAGUAGCUAGGAAAGAAGAGGAUAAAGAUGCACAGCACUGUGAUCCCAAGAGCUCUAUGCUUUGCCAAGCACCAUUAGCAGACUUUUUCAUAGCAGGACUUUGCUACCUAGUGGAAAAUCAAUUGCUUUGUUUUUAGCCAAGGUUCCAGUCUAGAAGGAAUCACACUUUAAUUUAGAAUUCUCUGAUUUGUUAUCUCUUCUGAGCUAAAACAUAAACUUUGCAAUGAUGUAAAAAAUAAUAACUGCUAUUCUGUACCACUGAUAUAUCAGAGAGAAAAAAGCAGUCCCUCAGCGCAUACAAGCAGAAGUCUCUGCUCAAAUAUUUGCCUGUUUGCAAACAUUG